RNAcentral lists this ribosomal RNA (497 nucleotides) under uncultured bacterium. RNAcentral describes it as "partial 16S ribosomal RNA". It matches the Rfam family "Bacterial small subunit ribosomal RNA", at positions 28 to 507 of the family's 1533-position model. The record is from RNAcentral.
GAUGAACGCUGGCGGCGUGCCUAAUACAUGCAAGUCGAGCGAACAGACGAGGAGCUUGCUCCUCUGACGUUAGCGGCGGACGGGUGAGUAACACGUGGAUAACCUACCUAUAAGACUGGGAUAACUUCGGGAAACCGGAGCUAAUACCGGAUAAUAUAUUGAACCGCAUGGUUCAAUAGUGAAAGACGGUUUUGCUGUCACUUAUAGAUGGAUCCGCGCCGCAUUGGCUAGUUGGUAAGGUAACGGCUUACCAAGGCAACGAUGCGUAGCCGACCUGAGAGGGGGAUCGGCCACACUGGAACUGAGACACGGUCCAGACUCCUACGGGAGGCAGCAGUAGGGAAUCUUCCGCAAUGGGCGAAAGCUUGACGGAGCAACGCCGCGUGAGUGAUGAAGGUCUUCGGAUCGUAAAACUCUGUUAUUAGGGAAGAACAAAUGUGUAAGUAACUAUGCACGUCUUGACGGUACCUAAUCAGAAAGCCACGGCUAACUACGUG